UCAGAUAUUUGUCUUUGUGCUAAUAUAUGGUUAUGAAGUUCUACUGUUUCAGAUGGAUUUCGUUAAUAAGUGUUCAUGGGAUUAAUACAACAAUCUUCAGCAUUAAUACAAUUUUUCUUUUCUUUCACUAUAAAGGAUUCUUAUUCGUUUGGUUGUUGAAAGAUACCAAGAACUCUCAUCAAAACUAGAGUACAAUUUUCCAUUGAAGUAGCAAGAGUAGAUCUAUGGAGGUGCUUUCCAGGAUUUUGAAGUAACGUGAAGCUGAAUAUUGAAAAUAUGCAAAGACAAAAAGGCUCGAGCGGGAAUCAGGGAGGUUCACUUCCAUUGACUUACAUCGACAGCAGAAGGCAGUAGUCAAGGUGCUCUCCUGAUUAGGUGGUGCUAGAGAAAACGAAGGAAAGCCUAGGUGCAUGGUGCAACAUAUGGUAAUUUGUUGGAUUGUUGCCCCCAAGACAUGAAAGUACUGAAACCAUUGGAAGGGCUUUGACUCUCGGUGUUAACAUCAAGAUGAUCACUGGCCAGAUAACCAGUUGUAAACUUGGAAUGGGAAUAAACAUGUAUCCAUCUUCGGCUUUUCUUGGUACGCACAAGUGGUAGGAACCAACAAACCCCAUGGAUGAAUAUGUCUCUCAAGUCUCAAUGGUUGUAAGUUUUGUCACGUAAGAGACAUGGAGAACAUACCUGGCAGAGAAUCAAGUGAAUUCCUCCAAAGAACUGAUCAGAUUAGAAAGAGCUAGUGUCUUGCGGCUGAAUAGAAUGGGAGAUAUGUAAAGGAAGGAACAAAUACUUUUGACAAACUAUUUAGGCCAUCGUCAAAGAUUUUGCAACAUACACAUCCAUUAAUUAGUAUUCAGUAGACAGUGGAAAGAAGUGUCUAAAGGAAACUUGAACCCAGAUGUCUGCAUAGAGGUAAAUCCACAUAAGAUCUCACACCCUCGGCCAAGUUCACAUCACACAUUAGAAUUAUAGAACCUUGACGUGUCUUUAUUCGGUGGAGCAUGGAAUUCUUCUCAUUGUAGAUCGCUGCUUGACAUUGUUUGACAAUCCACUGGUCGACUCUCUUCACACAACUUACAAUGAGCUCAAGUUACAGAAAGAAUGCAAGAACCAGACUUAAAAAUGGGUGUGUUCGGCAUUCUAAAUCAAUGUCACAAAGGAGACAAGCGGUAAGAACCACCAAACCCCAUUGACGAAGAUGGUCUCCUGGAAGAUUUGGCACGUAAGAGACGUAGAGAACAUACUUGUUGGAGCAUCAAAUGAUUUCCUCCAAAGAAAUUGAUUAGAUUGGGAAGACUAGUGUCUCGCGGCUGAAUAGGUAAGCAUGCUUGGAGCAUAACGGCUAGCGGCAAUGUCCAACUGCCAUUAGGAACAACCUGAAAAUCUACAUCGACCUCUUUGAUAGCGUGAUAUAGUCAUGUGUGCAUGCAUACAUUCAUAUGUGCAUACAUUCAUACAUCCAUACAUUCAUGCAUACAUUCAUACAUUCAUACAUUCAUACAUUCAUACAUCCAUACAUGCAUGCAUACAUUCAUACAUGCAUACAUUCAUACAUUCAUAC
This 1558-nucleotide small RNA is filed under the name Arabidopsis thaliana (thale cress). RNAcentral describes it as "putative long intergenic non-coding RNA". The record is from RNAcentral. Lineage: Eukaryota; Viridiplantae; Streptophyta; Magnoliopsida; Brassicales; Brassicaceae.